Alkaliphilus metalliredigens QYMF is the source of this 79-nucleotide non-coding RNA. The record is from Rfam. Lineage: Bacteria; Bacillati; Bacillota; Clostridia; Peptostreptococcales; Natronincolaceae.
UUGAGCCGUAUGAGCGGGAAACUCUCACGUACGGUUCUUAGACGAGGAAGAGGGAGUAAUCCCUUUUCUUUAGUCGAGU